RNAcentral lists this small RNA (573 nucleotides) under Histoplasma capsulatum var. duboisii H88. RNAcentral's name for it is "Histoplasma capsulatum H88 hypothetical RNA". Lineage: Eukaryota; Fungi; Ascomycota; Eurotiomycetes; Onygenales; Ajellomycetaceae. The record is from RNAcentral.
GUCUCCAAUCCUCCAUUCUCCUGUUUGAUGUCUUCAUCGUGGUCCUUGCUGACCUGUGAUACUGGCUGUUCGUUGAAGCGACCUGCACGCCGAUAUAGAAAAUGGAAUCUUCACGCUUCUGAUUGAUUCGCCUUCAAUCAUUUACGUUUUGUUCCUCCUGGUGUCUUGAUGAAGCAGUGGCCCCGCCGAUUUUGAGAAUUGCUAUUGCUGAAUCGAACACGGUAGUUUUGACAGAUAAAUCUCACAUUGUACAUACAAGAAGAAGGGCGGAUAAAAGGAAAGGGCCGAAACACAAGAAAGAAAGAAUAAUUGACUGAAGAUAGACAGGACAUCAUUGUUGGGCCUCGUUGUAAGUUCACACCAUGGCGCUUCCAACAGACAUGAAUGCAAUGUCGGAUAUCACCGCAUCCAUGGUUACAACUGCAGCCGAGUCGUCCAUACCGUUGGCUUCUCUGCCACCACCCUCUUCCCUUCCCCUAAACCUCAGUGUCGUUAAUUCCACACUGUCAAAACUAGCGUUCUUAUCCCCGUCAUCCCAAGAUAUUUUACUCUAUCCUCUUCGCUUCAUUUACC